RNAcentral lists this long non-coding RNA (508 nucleotides) under Rattus norvegicus (Norway rat). RNAcentral describes it as "long non-coding RNA NONRATT003303". Lineage: Eukaryota; Metazoa; Chordata; Mammalia; Rodentia; Muridae. The record is from RNAcentral.
GGCACCGUGAACCUCUAGGGACUUGGGAAAAUAUUUUGCAUAUUUAUUCAAGAGAGAAAUCGACCCAUGCCUAGAAGGGUCCAGGGCCCAGCUGGUGUCAACAUCUGCAGUCUAGUACUCCCUCUGGGUCUUGGGCCCUAGACUCACUUUAAACCAGGUAGAUUAUGCCGGCGCCCUCGGCUCCGCGGGUGGCGGGACCUGCUCAGCUCCAGCGCCGCCACCUCGGCUUCAGCUCACCAUUGGGAUCGCGAGCGGAGUCUGGAGCCCCUAAUCCUGCCGUGCGCACCGUCAGCUAGAGCCAUUGGCCACCAGUAGCGAUAACCGAGUGGGCUAGGGACCAGAGUAGAAGAAUCAGUCAGCUGGGUUGGGAGCGCCCCACCGUGCCGCGCUGUGUCCCCGCCUCGGGGGUCCGGGUCUUGGGGCGGGGACUGGGGCCCCGCCAGGCCCGGGGGUGGCGCGGGCAGGAGGAGGGGCUCCAGAGCGGGGCAGGGGCGGAGCGAGCGGCCGC